AUUGAACGCUGGCGGCAGGCUUAACACAUGCAAGUCGAGCGGGGUGAUGGUGCUUGCACUAUCACUUAGCGGCGGACGGGUGAGUAAUGCUUAGGAAUCUGCCUAUUAGUGGGGGACAACAUCUCGAAAGGGAUGCUAAUACCGCAUACGUCCUACGGGAGAAAGCAGGGGAUCACUUGUGACCUUGCGCUAAUAGAUGAGCCUAAGUCGGAUUAGCUAGUUGGUGGGGUAAAGGCCUACCAAGGCGACGAUCUGUAGCGGGUAUGAGAGGAUGAUCCGCCACACUGGGACUGGGACACGGCCCAGACUCCUACGGGAGGCAGCAGUGGGGAAUAUUGGACAGUGGGGGGAACCCUGAUCCAGCCAUGCCGCGUGUGUGAAGAAGGCCUUAUGGUUGUAAAGCACUUUAAGCGAGGAGGAGGCUCUUUUGGUUAAUACCCAAGAUGAGUGGACGUUACUCGCAGAAUAAGCACCGGCUAACUCUGUGCCAGCAGCCGCGGUAA
This 503-nucleotide ribosomal RNA is filed under the name uncultured bacterium. RNAcentral describes it as "partial 16S ribosomal RNA". It matches the Rfam family "Bacterial small subunit ribosomal RNA", at positions 30 to 523 of the family's 1533-position model. The record is from RNAcentral.